CCUACGGGGUGCUGCAGUGGGGAAUAUUGGACAAUGGGCGAAAGCCUGAUCCAGCCAUGCCGCGUGUGUGAAGAAGGCCUUCGGGUUGUAAAGCACUUUCAGUGGGGAAGAAAGCCUUGGGGCUAAUACCCUCGAGGAAGGACAUCACCCACAGAAGAAGCACCGGCUAACUCCGUGCCAGCAGCCGCGGUAAUACGGAGGGUGCGAGCGUUAAUCGGAAUUACUGGGCGUAAAGCGCGCGUAGGCGGUCUGAUAAGCCGGUUGUGAAAGCCCCGGGCUCAACCUGGGAACGGCAUCCGGAACUGUCAGGCUAGAGUGCAGGAGAGGAAGGUAGAAUUCCCGGUGUAGCGGUGAAAUGCGUAGAGAUCGGGAGGAAUACCAGUAGCGAAGGCGGCCUUCUGGACUGACACUGACGCUGAGGUGCGAAAGCGUGGGUAGCAAACAGGAUUAGAUACCCGAGUAGUC
RNAcentral lists this ribosomal RNA (465 nucleotides) under Vreelandella stevensii. Its description in RNAcentral is "partial 16S ribosomal RNA". It matches the Rfam family "Bacterial small subunit ribosomal RNA", at positions 338 to 795 of the family's 1533-position model. Lineage: Bacteria; Pseudomonadati; Pseudomonadota; Gammaproteobacteria; Oceanospirillales; Halomonadaceae. The record is from RNAcentral.